GGCACGGGAUGACUAGCAUGCGAGUCAUUGUAGUAAUACAAGGCAGACGGCUCAGUAACGCGUAGUCAACCUACCCUAUGGACGGGGAUAACCUCGGGAAACUGAGAAUAAUACCCGAUAGAACAUUAUGCCUGGAAUGGUUUAUGUUUCAAAUAAUUUAUUGCCGUAGGAUGGGACUGCGGCCUAUCAGUUUGUUGGUGAGGUAAUGGCCCACCAAGACUAUUACAGGUACGGGCUCUGAGAGGAGUAGCCCGGAGAUGGGUACUGAGACACGGACCCAGGCCCUAUGGGGCGCAGCAGGCGAGAAAACUUUGCAAUGUGCGAAAGCACGACAAGGUUAAUCCGAGUGGUUUCUGCUAAAGGAACCUUUUGUCAGUCCUAGAAACACUGGUGAAUAAGGGGUGGGCAAGUUCUGGUGUCAGCCGCCGCGGUAAAACCAGCACCUCAAGUGGUCAGGAUGAUUAUUGGGCCUAAAGCAUCCGUAGCCUGCUUUGUAAGUUUUCGGUUAAAUCCAUACGCUCAACGUAUGGGCUGCCGGGAAUACUGCAAAGCUAGGGAGUGGGAGAGGUAGACGGUACUCGGUAGGAAGGGGUAAAAUCCUUUGAUCUAUUGAUGACCACCUGUGGCGAAGGCGGUCUACCAGAACACGUCCGACGGUGAGGGAUGAAAGCUGGGGGAGCAAACCGGAUUAGAUACCCGGGUAGUCCCAGCUGUAAACUAUGCAAACUCAGUGAUGCAUUGGCUUGUGGCCAAUGCAGUGCUGCAGGGAAGCCGUUAAGUUUGCCGCCUGGGAAGUACGUACGCAAGUAUGAAACUUAAAGGAAUUGGCGGGGGAGCACCACAAGGGGUGAAGCCUGCGGUUCAAUUGGAGUCAACGCCGGG
This 882-nucleotide ribosomal RNA is filed under the name uncultured archaeon. RNAcentral describes it as "bacterial SSU rRNA". It matches the Rfam family "Archaeal small subunit ribosomal RNA", at positions 32 to 922 of the family's 1478-position model. The record is from RNAcentral.